This 1446-nucleotide ribosomal RNA is filed under the name uncultured bacterium. Its description in RNAcentral is "16S ribosomal RNA". It matches the Rfam family "Bacterial small subunit ribosomal RNA". The record is from RNAcentral.
GAUGAACGCUAGCGGCAGGCUUAACACAUGCAAGCCGUGGGGUAACAACGGACUUCGGUCUGGUUGACGACCGGCGGACGGGUGAGUAACACGUAUGGCACCUGCCUCUUGCAAGGGGAUAGGCCGGGGAAACCCGGAUUAAUACCCUAUAGGAUACAUUGAUUGCCUGAUUGAUGUAUGAAAGCUACGGCGGCAAGAGAUGGCCAUGCGGGAUAUUAGGUAGUUGGUAAGGUAAAGGCUUACCAAGCCGACGAUGUCUAUGGGUUCUAGAAGGAAGGUCCCACACACUGGUACUGAGACACGGACCAGACUCCUACGGGAGGCAGCAGUGAGGAAUAUUGGUCAAUGGGCGGAAGCCUGAACCAGCCAUGCCGCGUGCAGGAAGACGUCCCUUAGGGAUGUAAACUGCUUUUCUACGGGAAGAAAGGUACUGUUUUGUACAGUGCUUGCCGGUACUGUAUGAAAAAGCACCGGCUAACUCCGUGCCAGCAGUCGCGGUAAUACGGAGGGUGCAAGCGUUAUCCGGAUUCAUUAGGUUUAAAGGGUGCGUAGGCUGUUAUACAAGUCGCCGGUGAAAGUCACAAGCUCAACUUGUGAAUUGCCGGUGAAACUGUAUAACUUGAGACAAGACGUUGCAGGCGGAAUGUAAGGAGUAGCGGUGAAAUGCAUAGAUACCUUACAGAAGGCCGAUUGCGCAGGCAGCUUGCAAGACUUGUACUGACGCUGAUGCACGAAAGCUUGGGUAGCGAACAGGAUUAGAUACCCUGGUAGUCCAGGCUGUAAACGAUGCUCACUGGUUGUUUGCGAUAUAGUGUAAGCGACUGAGCGAAAGCAUUAAGUGAGCCACCUGGGGAGUACGUCGGCAACGAUGAAACUCAAAGGAAUUGACGGGGGCCCGCACAAGCGGAGGAACAUGUGGUUUAAUUCGAUGAUACGCGAGGAACCUUACCUGGGCUUGAACUAUAAGUGCUGUUACCAGAAAUGGUAAUUUCCGCAAGGACACUUAAAGAGGUGCUGCAUGGCUGUCGUCAGCUCGUGCCGUGAGGUGUCGGGUUAAGUCCCAUAACGAGCGCAACCCCUAUUGCUAAUUGCCAUCACGUAAAGGUGGGGACAUUAGUGAGACUGCCACCGUAAGGUGAGAGGAAGGUGGGGAUGACGUCAAGUCAGCACGGCCCUUAUGUCCAGGGCUACACACGUGUUACAAUGGCCGGGACAACGGGCAGCGACACUGUAAAGUGGAGCGAAUCCCCAAACCCGGUCGUAGUUCGGAUCGUAUUCUGCAACUCGAAUGCGUGAAGCUGGAUUCGCUAGUAAUCGCGCAUCAGCCAUGGCGCGGUGAAUACGUUCCCGGGCCUUGUACACACCGCCCGUCAAGCCAUGGGAGCUGGGGUUACCUGAAGUCCGUAACCGCGAGGAGCGGCCUAGGGUAAGUCCAGUGACUGGGGC